This 946-nucleotide ribosomal RNA is filed under the name Microbacterium sp. RNAcentral describes it as "bacterial SSU rRNA". It matches the Rfam family "Bacterial small subunit ribosomal RNA", at positions 568 to 1502 of the family's 1533-position model. Lineage: Bacteria; Bacillati; Actinomycetota; Actinomycetes; Micrococcales; Microbacteriaceae. The record is from RNAcentral.
CUGCUAGGCGGGAUUUGUUUGCGUCUACUGUGAAAUCAGAAGGCUCGAGCUCACGGCCUGCAGUGGGUACGGGCAGAGUAGAGUGCGAGUAGGGGAGAUGGGAAUUCAUGGUGUAGGCGGAGGAAUGAGCAGAUAUCAGGUGGAGCACCGAUGGCGAAGGCAGAUCUGUGGGCCGUAACUGGCGCUGAGGAGAGAAAGGGAGGCGAGCAAACAAGACUAGAUACCAUGGUAGUCCACUCCGUAAACGUUGGGAACUAGUCGUGGGGUCCAUUCCACGGAUUCCGUGACGCAGCUAACGCAUUAAGUUGUCCGCCUGGGGGGUACGGCCGCAAGGCUAAAAAUCAAAGGAAUUGACGGGGACCCGCACAAGCGGCGGAGCAUGCGGAUUAAUUUGAUGCAACGCGAAGAACCUUACCAAGGCUUGACAUAUACGAGAACGGGCCAGAAAAUGUCAACUUGCUGUACACUAGUAAACAGCAGGUGCAUGGUUGUCGUCAGCUCGUGUCGUGAGAUGUUGGGUUAAGUCCUGCAACGAGCGCAACCCUCGUUCUAUGUUGCCAGCACGUAAUGGUGGGAACUCAUGGGAUACUGCCGGGGUCAACUCGGAGGAAGGUGGGGAUGACGUCAAAUCAUCAUCCCCCUUAUGUCUUGGGGUUCACGCAUGGUACAACGGCCGGUACAAAGGGCUGCAAUACCGCGAGGAGGAGCGAAUCCCAAAAAACCGGUCCCAGUUCGGAUUGAGGUAGGCAACUCGACCUCAUGAAGUAGGAGUCGCUAGUAAUAGCAGAUCAGCAACGCUGCGGUGAAUACGUUCCCGGGUGCUGUACACACCGCCCGUCAAGUCACGAAAGUCGGUAACACAAGAAGCCGGUGGCGUAACCCUUGUGGAGGGAGCCGUCGAAGGUGGGAUCGGUAAUAGGAGGAGUCGUACAUUACCCGCCCCCGG